Molecule: long non-coding RNA, 519 nt
Organism: Miniopterus natalensis
Lineage: Eukaryota; Metazoa; Chordata; Mammalia; Chiroptera; Miniopteridae
Source: RefSeq, a predicted model, not a curated record
CCUAGGUCGAUGCUCAACUGCUGAGCCACACUGGCCGGGCUGGCUUCACUUCUAAUGCUGAUCACUCCCAGGUGAAGGUGCAGAGAAGCAGCGACUCUAACCUGUAGCUGAAGGAAGUAACAAAGAUGUAGCUAAAAAGCACUUUCCCCUGUCCUGAGUUUGUAAGCUUGGAAGAAGAUGGUAAUCAACAUACCAGGUCGUGGAAGUAUUUCUGGUUCAUUUCACUUGGUAUGGGUGAGGCCAUCUUUACUGUUUUAAAUGACUGAUCUGUGACGCUCCAGUGCCAUCCUCCUUCCUAGGAGCUAAAGGAGCACUAUGAUAGCAUGUUCUUUGAAAUUUUGGAUGGAUAAGGAAUAUUUAAAACAGCAAGUAUGAGGGAAAUGAUAUGUUACUGCCUUGGAUGGUGCUUGUGAAAUUCCUGUUUACCUUCCUGCUGGGUUUUCUGUGUCCAAAAUUAAUUAUUGUGAAAAUUUUAUAUCAAUACUGUCACUCAUGACUAUACAGUGUCAAACCUUUCUA